AUUGAACGCUGGCGGCAGGCCUAACACAUGCAAGUCGAGCGAGCGGCGGACGGGUGAGUAAUGUCUGGGAAACUGCCUGAUGGAGGGGGAUAACUACUGGAAACGGUAGCUAAUACCGCAUACCAUCGGAGGUGCUCAGAUGGGUUUAUCUUGUGGGUGGGGUACCGGCUCACCAAGGCGACGAUCCCUAGCUGGUCUUAGAGGAUGACCAGCCACACUGGAACUGAGACACGGUCCAGACUCCUACGGGAGGCAGCAGUGGGGAAUAUUGCACAAUGGGCGCAAGCCUGAUGCAGCCAGGCCGCGUGUAUGAAGAAGGCCUUCGGGUUGUGAAGUACUUUCAGCGGGGAGGCGUUACCCGCAGAAGAAGCACCGGCUAACUCCGUGCCAGCCGCCGCGGUAAUUC
RNAcentral lists this ribosomal RNA (406 nucleotides) under uncultured bacterium. Its description in RNAcentral is "partial 16S ribosomal RNA". It matches the Rfam family "Bacterial small subunit ribosomal RNA", at positions 30 to 526 of the family's 1533-position model. The record is from RNAcentral.